Molecule: ribosomal RNA, 513 nt
Filed under: uncultured bacterium
Lineage: Bacteria
Description: partial 16S ribosomal RNA
Rfam family: Bacterial small subunit ribosomal RNA
Source: RNAcentral
GACGAACGCUGGCGGCGUGCUUAACACAUGCAAGUCGAACGAAAAGAGGGAAAGAGCUUGCUCUUUCCGGAAUUGAGUGGCAAACGGGUGAGUAACACGUAAACAACCUGCCUUCAGGAUGGGGACAACAGACGGAAACGACUGCUAAUACCGAAUAAGUUCCAAGAGCCGCAUGGCCCAUGGAAGAAAAGGUGGCCUCUACCUGUAAGCUAUCGCCUGAAGCGGGGUUUGCGUCUGAUUAGCUGGUUGGGGGGGUAACAGCCCACCAAGGCGACGAUCAGGUACCGGGCUGAGGAGAUGAACCGCCACAAUGGAACUGGGGCAAGGUCCAGGACUCUACGGGGAGGAGCAGGUGGGGAAUGUCCGAAAUGGGGGGAAGCCUUACGGAGGAACGCCGGGUGGGUGAUGGCAGGCUUCGGGGUUGAAAACUCUGUGUGCCGGGACGAAAAGGCAGAGGGCUAAUAACAAGCUGUAUUGACGGUACCGGAAGAACAAGCCACGGCUAACUACGUG